AGUGAGGAAUAUUGGUCAAUGGAGGCAACUCUGAACCAGCCAAGUCGCGUGAAGGAUGACGGCCCUACGGGUUGUAAACUUCUUUUGUAAGGGAAUAAAGUUUGUCACGUGUGAUAAUUUGCAUGUACCUUACGAAUAAGCAUCGGCUAACUCCGUGCCAGCAGCCGCGGUAAUACGGAGGAUGCAAGCGUUAUCCGGAUUUAUUGGGUUUAAAGGGUGCGCAGGCGGGAUGUUAAGUCGGCGGUGAAAUUUUGCGGCUCAACCGUAAAAGUGCCUUCGAAACUGGCAUUCUUGAGUAUGGAUGAAGUAGGCGGAAUUUGUGGUGUAGCGGUGAAAUGCAUAGAUAUCACAAAGAACUCCGAUUGCGCAGGCAGCUUACUAAACCAUAACUGACGCUCAUGCACGAAGGCGUGGGUAUCGAACAGGAUUAGAUACCCUGGUAGUCCACGCAGUAAACGAUGAUUACUGGUUGUUUGCGAUACACAGUAAGCGACUGAGCG
This 500-nucleotide ribosomal RNA is filed under the name uncultured bacterium. Its description in RNAcentral is "bacterial SSU rRNA". It matches the Rfam family "Bacterial small subunit ribosomal RNA", at positions 353 to 853 of the family's 1533-position model. The record is from RNAcentral.